AGAGUUUGAUCAUGGCUCAGAUUGAACGCUGGCGGCAGGCCUAACACAUGCAAGUCGAGCGGUAGCACAGAGAGCUUGCUCUCGGGUGACGAGCGGCGGACGGGUGAGUAAUGUCUGGGAAACUGCCUGAUGGAGGGGGAUAACUACUGGAAACGGUAGCUAAUACCGCAUAAUGUCGCAAGACCAAAGUGGGGGACCUUCGGGCCUCAUGCCAUCAGAUGUGCCCAGAUGGGAUUAGCUUGUAGGUGGGGUAACGGCUCACCUAGGCGACGAUCCCUAGCUGGUCUGAGAGGAUGACCAGCCACACUGGAACUGAGACACGGUCCAGACUCCUACGGGAGGCAGCAGUGGGGAAUAUUGCACAAUGGGCGCAAGCCUGAUGCAGCCAUGCCGCGUGUGUGAAGAAGGCCUUCGGGUUGUAAAGCACUUUCAGCGGGGAGGAAGGCGGUGAGGUUAAUAACCUCAGCGAUUGACGUUACCCGCAGAAGAAGCACCGGCUAACUCCGUGCCAGCAGCCGCGGUAAUACGGAGGGUGCAAGCGUUAAUCGGAAUUACUGGGCGUAAAGCGCACGCAGGCGGUCUGUCAAGUCGGAUGUGAAAUCCCCGGGCUCAACCUGGGAACUGCAUUCGAAACUGGCAGGCUAGAGUCUUGUAGAGGGGGGUAGAAUUCCAGGUGUAGCGGUGAAAUGCGUAGAGAUCUGGAGGAAUACCGGUGGCGAAGGCGGCCCCCUGGACAAAGACUGACGCUCAGGUGCGAAAGCGUGGGGAGCAAACAGGAUUAGAUACCCUGGUAGUCCACGCCGUAAACGAUGUCGAUUUGGAGGUUGUGCCCUUGAGGCGUGGCUUCCGGAGCUAACGCGUUAAAUCGACCGCCUGGGGAGUACGGCCGCAAGGUUAAAACUCAAAUGAAUUGACGGGGGCCCGCACAAGCGGUGGAGCAUGUGGUUUAAUUCGAUGCAACGCGAAGAACCUUACCUGGUCUUGACAUCCACAGAACUUAGCAGAGAUGCUUUGGUGCCUUCGGGAACUGUGAGACAGGUGCUGCAUGGCUGUCGUCAGCUCGUGUUGUGAAAUGUUGGGUUAAGUCCCGCAACGAGCGCAACCCUUAUCCUUUGUUGCCAGCGGUCCGGCCGGGAACUCAAAGGAGACUGCCAGUGAUAAACUGGAGGAAGGUGGGGAUGACGUCAAGUCAUCAUGGCCCUUACGACCAGGGCUACACACGUGCUACAAUGGCAUAUACAAAGAGAAGCGACCUCGCGAGAGCAAGCGGACCUCAUAAAGUAUGUCGUAGUCCGGAUUGGAGUCUGCAACUCGACUCCAUGAAGUCGGAAUCGCUAGUAAUCGUAGAUCAGAAUGCUACGGUGAAUACGUUCCCGGGCCUUGUACACACCGCCCGUCACACCAUGGGAGUGGGUUGCAAAAGAAGUAGGUAGCUUAACCUUCGGGAGGGCGCUUACCACUUUGUGAUUCAUGACUGGGGUGAAGUCGUAACAAGGUAACCGUAGGGGAACCUGCGGUUGGAUCACCU
RNAcentral lists this ribosomal RNA (1528 nucleotides) under Klebsiella pneumoniae UCI 17. Its description in RNAcentral is "bacterial SSU rRNA". It matches the Rfam family "Bacterial small subunit ribosomal RNA". Lineage: Bacteria; Pseudomonadati; Pseudomonadota; Gammaproteobacteria; Enterobacterales; Enterobacteriaceae. The record is from RNAcentral.